This 505-nucleotide ribosomal RNA is filed under the name uncultured bacterium. RNAcentral's name for it is "partial 16S ribosomal RNA". It matches the Rfam family "Bacterial small subunit ribosomal RNA", at positions 28 to 507 of the family's 1533-position model. The record is from RNAcentral.
GACGAACGCUGGCGGCGUGCCUAAUACAUGCAAGUAGAACGCACAGUUUAUACCUUAGCUUGCUCCACCAUAUACUGUGUGUUGCGAACGGGUGAGUAACGCGUAGGUAACCUGCCUGGUAGCGGGGGAUAACUAUUUGACACGAUAGCUAAUAUCUCAUAAUAUUGAUUAUUCCAUGAUAAUUUUUUGAAAGUUGUUAUUUCAUCACUACCAGAUGGACCUGCGUUGUAUUAGCUAGGAGGUGAGGUAACGGCUCACCUAGGGGACGAUACAUAACCGACCUGAGAGGGUGAGCGGCAACACUGGGACUGAGACACGGCCCAGAAUCCUACGGGAGGCAGCAGGAGGGAAUCUUCGGCAAUGGACGAAAGGCUGACCGAGCAACGCCGCGUGAGUGAAGAAGGUUGUCGGAUCGUAAAGCUCUGUUGUAAGAGAAGAACGGGUGUGAGAGUGGAAAGUUCACACUGUGACGGUAUCUUACCAGAAAGGGACGGCUAACUACGUG